RNAcentral lists this transfer RNA (76 nucleotides) under Xylella fastidiosa. Its description in RNAcentral is "tRNA_Thr_TGT". It matches the Rfam family "tRNA". From Rfam's summary of the family: Transfer RNA (tRNA) molecules are approximately 80 nucleotides in length. Their secondary structure includes four short double-helical elements and three loops (D, anti-codon, and T loops). The record is from RNAcentral. Lineage: Bacteria; Pseudomonadati; Pseudomonadota; Gammaproteobacteria; Lysobacterales; Lysobacteraceae. RNAcentral also lists the same sequence under 18 other names.
GCCGCUUUAGCUCAGUUGGUAGAGCAACUGAUUUGUAAUCAGUAGGUCCACAGUUCGAAUCUGUGAAGCGGCACCA